RNAcentral lists this ribosomal RNA (420 nucleotides) under bacterium. Its description in RNAcentral is "partial 16S ribosomal RNA". It matches the Rfam family "Bacterial small subunit ribosomal RNA", at positions 355 to 776 of the family's 1533-position model. The record is from RNAcentral.
UGGGGGAUAUUGCACAAUGGGCGAAAGCCUGAUGCAGCGACGCCGCGUGGGGGAUGAAGGCUUUCGGGUUGUAAACCUCUUUCGCUAUCGAACAAGGCCCGCUUAGGGUGGGUUGAGGGUAGGUGGAGAAGAAGCGCCGGCUAACUACGUGCCAGCAGCCGCGGUAAUACGUAGGGCGCGAGCGUUGUCCGGAAUUAUUGGGCGUAAAGGGCUUGUAGGCGGCUUGUUGCGCCUGCUGUGAAAACGCGGGGCUUAACUUCGCGCGUGCAGUGGGUACGGGCAGGCUUGAGUGUGGUAGGGGUGACUGGAAUUCCAGGUGUAGCGGUGGAAUGCGCAGAUAUCUGGAGGAACACCGAUGGAGAAGGCAGGUCACUGGGCCAUAACUGACGCUGAAAAGCGAAAACAUGGGUAGCGAACGGG